RNAcentral lists this ribosomal RNA (785 nucleotides) under uncultured bacterium. RNAcentral's name for it is "bacterial SSU rRNA". It matches the Rfam family "Bacterial small subunit ribosomal RNA", at positions 8 to 796 of the family's 1533-position model. The record is from RNAcentral.
AGAGUUUGAUCAUGGCUCAGGACGAACGCUGGCGGCGUGCUUAACACAUGCAAGUCGAACGGAAAGGCCCUUCGGGGUACUCGAGUGGCGAACGGGUGAGUAACACGUGGGUGAUCUGCCCUGCACUUUGGGAUAAGCCUGGGAAACUGGGUCUAAUACCGAAUAGGACCACGCGCUUCAUGGUGUGUGGUGGAAAGCUUUUGCGGUGUGGGAUGGGCCCGCGGCCUAUCAGCUUGUUGGUGGGGUAAUGGCCUACCAAGGCGACGACGGGUAGCCGGCCUGAGAGGGUGUCCGGCCACACUGGGACUGAGAUACGGCCCAGACUCCUACGGGAGGCAGCAGUGGGGAAUAUUGCACAAUGGGCGCAAGCCUGAUGCAGCGACGCCGCGUGGGGGAUGACGGCCUUCGGGUUGUAAACCUCUUUCAGUAUCGGCGAAGCUCCAGGAUUUUUCUUGGGGUGACGGUAGGUACAGAAGAAGCACCGGCCAACUACGUGCCAGCAGCCGCGGUAAUACGUAGGGUGCGAGCGUUGUCCGGAAUUACUGGGCGUAAAGAGCUCGUAGGUGGUUUGUCACGUUGUCCGUGAAAACUCACAGCUUAACUGUGGGCGUGCGGGCGAUACGGGCAGACUGGAGUACUGUAGGGGAGACUGGAAUUCCUGGUGUAGCGGUGGAAUGCGCAGAUAUCAGGAGGAACACCGGUGGCGAAGGCGGGUCUCUGGGCAGUAACUGACGCUGAGGAGCGAAAGCGUGGGGAGCGAACAGGAUUAGAUACCCUGGUAGUCC